GACGAACGCUGGCGGCGUGCUUAACACAUGCAAGUCGAACGGAAAGGCCCUGCUUGCAGGGUACUCGAGUGGCGAACGGGUGAGUAACACGUGGGUGAUCUGCCCUGCACUUCGGGAUAAGCCUGGGAAACUGGGUCUAAUACCGGAUAGGAGCCAUUUUUAGUGUGAUGGUUGAAAAGUUUUUUCGGUGUAGGAUGAGCUCGCGGCCUAUCAGCUUGUUGGUGGGGUAAUGGCCUACCAAGGCGGCGACGGGUAGCCGGCCUGAGAGGGUGGACGGCCACAUUGGGACUGAGAUACGGCCCAGACUCCUACGGGAGGCAGCAGUGGGGAAUAUUGCACAAUGGGCGCAAGCCUGAUGCAGCGACGCCGCGUGGGGGAUGACGGCCUUCGGGUUGUAAACUCCUUUCGCUAGGGACGAAGCUUUUUGUGACGGUACCUAGAUAAGAAGCACCGGCUAACUACGUG
This 465-nucleotide ribosomal RNA is filed under the name uncultured bacterium. RNAcentral's name for it is "partial 16S ribosomal RNA". It matches the Rfam family "Bacterial small subunit ribosomal RNA", at positions 28 to 507 of the family's 1533-position model. The record is from RNAcentral.